UGAAAAUGCCAUUUUGCAUUAAAAAGCCCGCAAGGACCAACAUUACAAUAUGGGUUUUAAACACUAUAGAGAAAAGGGAGACCCACACUGAGAUAGCAACCAGCCCAAAUACAAUAAAUCAAACCAAGAAUCCAUACCCAUAACAGGAUAACCCAGCCCCACCUAGAAACUCUAAGAGAACAAGGAAAACAAGGUUGCCGACCACUGCCACAAUUGUUAUCACUAACAUCAAUGAGCAGAUUGUGUUUGCAAAAGCCAACAUCACAAGGAGCAAUAAAUCUUUUAUCUGCUCACGUCACCUUAUCAAAACAACAUACCUAUCUUCCUCAACAGGGACUUGAAGCUCUGCUAAACAACAAUGAGAGGGCACCGCGACAGAGCUCUGGCAUACAAGCCAAAAGGAUGGCCUUCCCAGCCAUGGUGUAGAAGCAAAUCUCAGAGAUACAAGACAGCCGACGCAAAUGAACCCUCUCACCAUGCACAGCAACCCAUCAAGGCUAAAAAGAUGGUAAAGACUCUUCAACAGGAGCAAACUCAUCCUCUAGGAGACCAUCUACCAUCAUCUUCUUGUCCAUCACAAACCAAUUGAACCCAACACUCCAAGUUUCAAAUGAUGCCUUCUCAUUGAAGAACAAACCUGCAUGCAAAGACCCACAAACACCAAUUACAAAACCCAUUUACAAACUAACUCAAUUAGGGGAGGGCUUUCCCACAACAUUAAACUAAAACCAAAAGCUUACGGAGGAAAACAAGAAGAGAUGGACAAAGCUAGGGGAACCCUAGAGAAACGACAAACUAAAUAUUUCUGAAUUUGAAAGAAAAAGAAAAUGCACGCCUCUUGUCCUGUGAGAAGUUUAUGGUAGCUAGUGAAGCAGUGUUAUUAAAUUCAGCUUUGGGGAAGCA
Molecule: unclassified non-coding RNA, 903 nt
Filed under: Hevea brasiliensis (rubber tree)
Lineage: Eukaryota; Viridiplantae; Streptophyta; Magnoliopsida; Malpighiales; Euphorbiaceae
Source: RNAcentral